RNAcentral lists this long non-coding RNA (3272 nucleotides) under Fukomys damarensis (Damara mole-rat). Its description in RNAcentral is "lncRNA (ENSFDAG00000024770.1)". Lineage: Eukaryota; Metazoa; Chordata; Mammalia; Rodentia; Bathyergidae. The record is from RNAcentral.
UUGUGCUAAAAUUCCAGAGAGCUCCUCCUUAAAUGCGAAAACAUGACCCAGGAGCAUGGAUUCAUUAAUUCGUUGUACUUUCAUGAGGAACACUGCACGGAGGAAUGAAAAUGCCACCUGGGUGCCAGAGAAGAAUUUUUUUCAGGCGCUAUGGUCCUCAUAAUUGUUAGGAUAAGAUACUCCUUGCAAGUUAAAACUCACACUAACUCUUCUACAUAUAGCAGAAAAACUUUCUGGAAGAUGUUUGAUCAUUUCGUGGAUGUGUUUGUGUUUUUCAACUCUAAGUGAGGAACUGAUCAAGGUGACACGGGAUCAUCUUGGGAGAAUGCACAAGGUUUAGUUUCCUGAAGCAGAUGUUAGUACCGCCUUUUUGUAGAGAAAGAUGAGAAACAAAAUAUGCUAUAUAUUUGCCAACACAGGAGCCUGACUUUAAUGUCAAUGAAAUUGCCUCUACUCGUUCCCUACUUUGGUGGUCUAAAUUCAGCUCAGAUCACAUUGUUCUCAGUUACCCUGUAUCCCCUGGGUAAGAAUGGCCACAGAGAAAAUGUUAGAGGGCCUUUGACCUUCGCUAGGUUUGAAGUUCUUCCUUUCUUCUCUGGGGAGCAUGUCAUACUAGAAGAGUAAUCCAGAAACCAUGACUGAUGCUUUCACUGCAUAGAGUGCUGUUUGGAGAUGUCCCUGUGGCCUUGAGGUAGAAGUGGCUGGGUUCCUAGGGGACUCUCUGAAUAUCUAAUAUGUUCUGAUUGUGCUACUUUUCCCAAGAAAGAUAACUACUAACUCCUGUUUUCCCCAGGGUAUUCUGAUUUUCCACACAGAACUAGACUCCUCUCCUAUAAAUGCUCAUCUUGUCUGCUCCUUUGUCCUCUGCCAUCACUUCUUCUGAACCUGACACCAGCUGUGUGCCAUCUAUUAACCUGUCAUAUUCAUUGAUCUCCCUAAGAAAUCAAACUGUCCCUCUAAUUCCCCUGUCUGAUCUUUGCUUGCCAGAGUAUACUGACAAAAUUGUACCCUAGCAAAAGAAAAGCAUAGUCUAUUCGUUUCAGCCAUAAUAGCCUCAAAUGCUAUGUAGUCAAUACAUUAUUUUCUGUAGGUUUUAAACUUUAUGGCCUUAUUGAAAAUGAAAACUGUUUGCAGAUAACUCUGAUUUGCUCUCCAAAGGCUGCAUGAAAAUACAGCUAAAAUAAACACAUGGACUAAGAAAGCUGAUAAAGAGAAGUAUAAAAUCCUUCCAUUGGCAUUUUCAUUUUUCAACCAAAAGGAGUGUACUUUAUAACUUGUAAUUGAAAUUCCAACCGAUUUCUAAUUUUUCUCCCCUCUUAUUUAUUGGAGAAUAAAGAUGAAGGAUGAUAAAAUUUCCAGUGUAGCUUAAUAUGCUUACAGUGAAGAUCUGGUCAUUCCCUUUUUUAAAAAUGUAAGAAUAUUAGGAAAUUCUCCAUUCCUCAGUGAAACUGUUCUUCAACUUAAUGUUAUAUGAGUGUAGGAAUUUGUUAUCAAAACUGAGCCUCAAUUUUAGAAGUAGUCCACACUGAGUAAUUUGCCAUUUAUUUUUUCAUCUAUAAAACUUUUCAGUAGUAGAAGCUAACAAUGUGCUAGGAGUUUACUUUUGUCAAUAUUCAACCAAGAUGAAAUGUUAUUCUAGCAAUCUCAAGCAUAGAGAAUUCAUUUUAGGGAAUUAGUUAAAAAUGUAUUGCCAGGGCCAAAGUAUAAAAGAGAAAAGCAAGUGGUUAUUCAAAAUCAGAAGCUGCUACCUCCCUUGGGCUGAAGGCGGGGAAAAAUGUUAAUGGAAGAUGGCCUUGUCUUCCAGAAGCCUCUUCUGGGGAUGGUACUGAAACUGCCCCUGGAGGUGCAGGGCAUGGAGACAAAUGUGAAUCUCCCCACUAAUUUUAGGUGGCCACUCCCUGUGCCUGGGUGUUUUUCCAUCUGUCAACUGCCUUGACCCUUGCCUAGUUAACUUUUCUAUUUGUAAAAGAAAUCAUUUUGCUUUUAACAUGUAGUAGAAGAUCGCUGUAGUGGAAAGUAUCCAACUUUAUUAUUUGCUUUUCUGCCCUUCUACAAAAUCUAUUAGUGCAUGUGUUGUAGUAUAUUUCAGUUUUUUGCACACCUGUUAGUCUACUGUGCUAAGGUGAGUUCUUUCCAGGGUGUGAUCUUCCAUUAUGCUGUAUAUUCUCUUGACUAGCACUGAACCUAUUAAUCCCAACUAAUAUUUGUUGAAUUUAUUUAAAUUGCUUUGAUUUCAAAUAUACAAAGGCACAAAACUGUGGUAUAUUUUGAAGGGUGGAAUGUGCUUGAUGAAGAAUUGAAACUUUAUUUUUCAGGUGUUGUUGAACCACUGAUACUUUGGAAGACUGGCAGCGCCAUGGUAUAAUUUAGUGAGUCUGAGCUGGAAAAGUUAGAGAAAGAUAGUGUAGAGUGCAUCUCCAUGCCUGCAGCAGACAAUAGGAGUUGAGCGUGUUGAUUUUAGCCUGACUUUUAGGAACCUCUGUUCUUUUCUCAUUUGGGACAUGGGAGUGUUAUUUUAUCUUACUGGAUUGUGGAGGUGGGGCUUUUUUGAGAUUAAAAAAUUAUUCUUUUUAGAACUUUCAAAGUAUCUGGCUGACAGGCUGGCUGAGGUUUUAUAAUCAACCAUUUCUAAUCAUGAAAUGUUCUAAUUAUAAAAGUAAUGUAGUCAGACAUUCAAAAUUAUGCUUCCAUUCACUUUGCCAAGUACCUUUCCAAAACCUUUUUGCUCCUGCACCCUACUUUUUCAAAAUUAUCUUUUUUACAACACAGAAAACUAGGAAAGUUUAACUUCAGAAAUGACAUAACUUAGAACAAACUUAAUGGUACAAAUGCAAGGGGUCUAAGAGAAAUCACAAUGCAGUGCUUCUGCCUCUCAAACCUAAACUCCAGCUUGCUUCCAGGCGACUCUCCCAGACAACAGAGCGAGAUGCCCAUUUGGCUGACAGUAAAAGGACAGCGAUAUCCCAGUAAUUCUUCCUGAUGUGAGAAAUGGGCUUUUUGUUCCUUCUGUGAAGCUUCAUUCUUGCCACAGAAGGAAAUAUGAUCUGGGCCGUUGGAUAUCAAACCAGGUCUCACAGAUGCUUGGGGCUGAAAGGUCUCCCAAGGUGCAGAAGAGAGAGACAGAAUAGGUGAGCUCUAUUUGCUUUAGCCCACUUAUCUUGCGCCUCAGCAGAUUCAUUCUCAUCCUUUAAGCAUAUUUCAAAAUAUAGAGCUUAAUUUUGAAUACAGAAUUUCAUUUGCAAAAGGAUUUUGCUGUAAAUAUUGCACAAAAC